Molecule: ribosomal RNA, 255 nt
Filed under: uncultured bacterium
Lineage: Bacteria
Description: partial 16S ribosomal RNA
Rfam family: Bacterial small subunit ribosomal RNA
Source: RNAcentral
UGAGUAACACGUAGACAACCUGCCCCCUGGCCCGGGACAACCUCUGGAAACGGAGGCUGAUACCGGACGGGCAGGAGAGGGGCAUCCCUCUCCUGUGAAAGGCCCUGCAAGGGGCCGCGAGGGGAUGGGUCUGCGGUGCAUUAGCUAGUUGGCGGGGCAGCGGCCCACCAAGGCGACGAUGCAUAGCCGGCCUGAGAGGGCGGACGGCCACAUUGGGACUGAGACACGGCCCAGACUCCUACGGGAGGCAGCAUG